UAGGGAAUUUUCGGCAAUGGGGGCAACCCUGACCGAGCAACGCCGCGUGAGUGAAGAAUGCCUUCGGGUUGUAAAGCUCUGUUGUAAGGGAAGAAAAGUAUCAAGAGGCAAUGCUUGAUGCGUGACGGUACCUUACCAGAAAGCCACGGCUAACUACGUG
This 160-nucleotide ribosomal RNA is filed under the name uncultured compost bacterium. RNAcentral's name for it is "partial 16S rRNA". It matches the Rfam family "Bacterial small subunit ribosomal RNA", at positions 355 to 507 of the family's 1533-position model. The record is from RNAcentral.